Molecule: non-coding RNA, 711 nt
Organism: Lonchura striata (white-rumped munia)
Lineage: Eukaryota; Metazoa; Chordata; Aves; Passeriformes; Estrildidae
Source: RefSeq, a predicted model, not a curated record
CUGCUGGCACACCCUUAUUUAUCUCUUACCUUGAGCCAAAGAUAUUGUGCUAUUCUGAGAGAAAUUUUCCAAAGGAGCUGCAGCGUCUCCUUGAGAUGAUGGAUCCUGGUAAAAAGAUUCCUUUGUUCACUUGGUUAUGCACAAAGCAUCAUCCGUUUCCUCCUAAUAGGUUUUUCUUCUAAGUAAAUGUCUUUUAACAAUGAGAAUUAGAAACAAAUUAUAUUCAGCUAUUCAGACCUUGCAAGGAAAGCACAAGGACUGUCAGCCUUAUGCCUUUGCCUUUUUCCUUUUUUGAUAGGCAGGCUACAGGACAAAUGCUGCACUGUGCCCUCUGCUCCCAAGUACAUGAAUGGGAAGGACAAAGAAGAACAAAACUUUGGGAAAGAGUUUCUUUCCAUCAUUAAAUAUUUACCAUUUCAGCUCCAGAUUCAGGAAAGGUGAGGAGUGACUUUAGUGUGAAGGAGUGUCCUGGUCUCCAGGCAUGGUCAACCCACAACAGAGUUGUUGUCUGGGAAAUGUAAUGCAACAUAUUCCUGCACAGACCCAUUUUCUGACUCCACUUUCCCCAUAUUUAAAAUUAAAACUCUGGAGAGAAGAAUAUGAAUUGAUUUUGUGAAAUUGUUUUGUGUUAUGUUAAUUUAAAAUGAUCAGCUAGCACAGCAGUAAUGAUCACAGAGGAUUGGUCUUUUGAAACAAAGAUAACAUAUCAUU